GAUGAACGCUAGCUACAGGCUAACACAUGCAAGUCGAGGGGCAUCAGGAAGAAAGCUUGCUUUCUUUGCUGGCGACCGGCGCACGGGUGAGUAACACGUAUCCAACCUGCCCUUUACUCGGGGAUAGCCUUUCGAAAGAAAGAUUAAUACCCGAUAGCAUAAUGAUUCCGCAUGGUUUCAUUAUUAAAGGAUUCCGGUAAAGGAUGGGGAUGCGUUCCAUUAGGUUGUUGGUGAGGUAACGGCCCACCAAGCCUUCGAUGGAUAGGGGUUCUGAGAGGAAGGUCCCCCACAUUGGAACUGAGACACGGUCCAAACUCCUACGGGAGGCAGCAGUGAGGAAUAUUGGUCAAUGGGCGCUAGCCUGAACCAGCCAAGUAGCGUGAAGGAUGAAGGCUCUAUGGGUCGUAAACUUCUUUUAUAUAAGAAUAAAGUGCAGUAUGUAUACUGUUUUGUAUGUAUUAUAUGAAUGAGGAUCGGCUAACUCCGUGCCAGCAGCCGCGGUAAUACGGAGGAUCCGAGCGUUAUCCGGAUUUAUUGGGUUUAAAGGGAGCGUAGGUGGACUGGUAAGUCAGUUGUGAAAGUUUGCGGCUCAACCGUAAAAUUGCAGUUGAUACUGUCAGUCUUGAGUACAGUAGAGGUGGGCGGAAUUCCUAGUGUAGCGGUGAAAUGCGUAGAUAUUAGGAGGAACACCAGUGGCGAAGGCGGCCUACUGGGCUGUAACUGACGCUGA
Molecule: ribosomal RNA, 730 nt
Filed under: uncultured Bacteroidales bacterium
Lineage: Bacteria; Pseudomonadati; Bacteroidota; Bacteroidia; Bacteroidales
Description: bacterial SSU rRNA
Rfam family: Bacterial small subunit ribosomal RNA
Source: RNAcentral